RNAcentral lists this long non-coding RNA (358 nucleotides) under Gossypium raimondii (Peruvian cotton). RNAcentral's name for it is "long non-coding RNA (GRAI_LNC002422)". The record is from RNAcentral. Lineage: Eukaryota; Viridiplantae; Streptophyta; Magnoliopsida; Malvales; Malvaceae.
AGAGAACUAAUCGCAACAUCAUGCUACUUAGUGGACUAAUGCUGACUUCGGCUAUGAAAAUUGUUAGUUGCAACAUUGAUUUUGUAUCUAUUCAUGAAUUUAUAUAACUUGCCUUGAUAGAAACAGGUCUAAUGCCUCUUCUUUUGAUUAUAGAGCUCUUUGUGGGGUAGAUAGAAGAUUUGAUUGAGGCUCAAAGUAAACAUUGGAUUGGUAAGUCUUAAAGUGAUUCUUAUCAUUAUUGUUUCCAUGUUCUUAAUAUGCUUUUACUAUUCAAUGAAAUCGCAAUCACAUUGCUCUUUCUAAUAUGCUUUACUAUGUACAACUAUUUUCACUUUACAGUCCCAAAGCAUUAAAUUAA